RNAcentral lists this transfer RNA (74 nucleotides) under Mycoplasmataceae bacterium RV_VA103A. RNAcentral's name for it is "tRNA-Gly". It matches the Rfam family "tRNA". From Rfam's summary of the family: Transfer RNA (tRNA) molecules are approximately 80 nucleotides in length. Lineage: Bacteria; Bacillati; Mycoplasmatota; Mollicutes; Mycoplasmatales; Mycoplasmataceae. The record is from RNAcentral.
GCGAGUAUAGUUCAGUGGUAGAACCUUAGACUGCCAGUCUAAUUACGCGGGUUCGAUUCCCGUUACUCGCUCCA